CCCUACGGGACGCAGCAGUGGGGAAUAUUGCACAAUGGGGGGAACCCUGAUGCAGCAAUGCCGCGUGGGUGAAGAAGCACUCCGGUGCGUAAAGCCCUGUCAGCAGGGAAGAAAAUGACAGUACCUGGACAAGAAGCCCCGGCUAACUACGUGCCAGCAGCCGCGGUAAUACGUAGGGAGCGAGCGUUAUCCGGAUUCAUUGGGCGUAAAGCGCGCGUAGGCGGCUGCCUAAGCGGAACCUCUAACCCCGGGGCUCAACCUCGGGCCGGGUUCCGAACUGGGCGGCUUGAGUGCGGUAGAGGAGG
This 305-nucleotide ribosomal RNA is filed under the name uncultured bacterium. Its description in RNAcentral is "bacterial SSU rRNA". It matches the Rfam family "Bacterial small subunit ribosomal RNA", at positions 337 to 660 of the family's 1533-position model. The record is from RNAcentral.